UACAUUUCGGUAUUGAAGUGAAUGUACAAUUCUUUAUGCUGUAAAAGAAAGGUCAGGUCCUUUUAGCGGGAACCUAAACUUCCUGGAGCUGCAUUCGAAUAUCGUUGGAUGUUGAUGCUGGAACUGGCGUGAACAGGAAGUUGGGGGAGGCACUCAAUGCUCGCGUGAUGUGGCCGAGGGACUUGAGGAGAAUUAUACACUGACAGCAGUGGAGAUGAGAGCGCACUUGAAAUUAUCAGGUAAGAGAGGGUUAAUCGAGCAAAAUGUACAAUUAUUGGUCAGAUAAUGUCGGUCAAAUUUCUAAAUAAUUAUGGCGUACGAAUAAUGAUAUAUCCGUAAAUCGUAUUUUACCGAUUUAAAGAUGUUCAUUAUUCAUUGUAUUGUCACGCCCCCCUCGGGAGAAUGCAGCGGCAGCAGCCACACCUGAGUUACGUCAACUCCCUGUUUAGUUCUGCUUGGCGCUGCAUUAUAUGCAAGGUACUGUUGAGGGUUUUCAUAAGAAGUACAGGGCGGUCUUCCUCCUGUCUACCCCGAUCCGGUCCAUCCGCCUGCUUUGCUGCCAUUCCAUCCCAUCCCAUCCUGAUCCUCCCGGACCUCUUCCUUGUACUUGUCCUUCGUCUCGCAUGCCACCUGUAGAACUGGCUUUUGGACUCGAUUGUACUUGCUGAUUCCAGUUCUGUUUGCGUGUUCCCAACAAUAAACCCCGUACAGUACGUUGCCUUCUGUGUCUCUACCAUCCUCCGGGGUUGCAUGUUGUGCAGUACUGUAGUAGCUUGGAUUCAACCAUUAGAUGGCAGUAGUAGCAUAUAGUUGGAGGGAAGUAGAAGAAGGCAAGAGAGGGAAGUUGAGUGUUUAUGCGUUGUUCCCGGAGCUGAUAAGUUAAUAAAUAUUGAACCUCUUGCCAUCCCCAAAUGUGUCUCGGCUGACUCUCAAUAUAUCAAAAGUACAUACCGUCUAUUUAUUUAUGUCUGCCCUUCAAACCGCUAGAUUCCUUCACUAAGCAGGAAGUUUGUCACGACAGCUGACACCAAAUCUCCUGCUGAGCUGGUUCAGACAGAACUAUCCUCAAUUCACCACGAGGGGGCGCCAACGCAGCAGCUUAGUUCUAUUGUUUCUCUUUUUCAAAGACAGUUUUUCUCUUCACAAAAGGACAACUUAACUGAAUAAUGCACUUUCAUAGUAAUUGUUUUUAAUCCGUGUUAAUGUUCUGAACAAUGACUACUAAAGGUUCUGUAAGGUUGUCCCACAUACUAUGGAUUUUAAGUUUUUUAUCAAGGUGUUAAAAUGUACCAUCUAUUUUCUGCUGAAAGUUGCCAGUCCUGUGUUUUAUGUCUAGCAAUUUGUACAGUUUCUUCAGUAUGGCGCAUAAACACAUGCCAUCAUCUACAGUAUGAGAAUCUCCUCCAGAACUCUGCAUUUCCUCAAGAUUUUUUUUGUAAUAUUACAUAGGUGCAUCUCAUGAACCUUAAUUUGCCAAGCAUGUAUUGACUGGGCACAGUACAGUGGUGCAAUUUCUGACAAUGAAAGAACAUCAUGGACCCCUACUCCCCAUUCCUUAACCCGAUCGAGGGGCUCUGCUCAGCAUGGAGUUAGAAGGCUUACGAUCGCCAGCCACAUGCUCAGAUGACCCUGCUGGCUGACAUGGAUGCAGCAUGUGAGGACAUUACAGCAGAUGCCUGCAGAGGCAGGUAAGACAUUAGAAAAGAUUCCUUUUUUUCUUAUGUUUUAUUCUUUCUGUUUUUUCUUAUGUACAAAUACAUAAGUGCACAUUAGGAUGCUUUUUCACUAUUACGUAAGUUCCCAUGUGAACAGCCAAUCAGAUCAGCCUGAUGUGUGUCUCUCUGUUUCCUCUCUGUUUCCUGCCCUUUCAUCCCGACCAUGACCAUGAUCUCUCACUUAGCAGCAGAGCAGUUUAUUCUAAACAGUGGAACCGCAAAGAUGUUCAGACUCUUUGGUCUUCUCAUUUUCAUUAGUAGGGUUCUAUACUAUUAAAUCAUAUUUUGUGGGGAUUUUUAUAUAUCCUGUACGAUGUGAUUAGUGUAAUAAGUAUUUGGCCAUUUAAUCUUCAUCAUAUGUAAUGGGUAUUCUGAUUAUUAUUAUGAUAUUUAUUUAUUUGCUUGUUUGUUUGUUUGUUUGUUUAUUCAUUUGUGUUUCUCUCUUUUUCCAGACACUUC
Molecule: long non-coding RNA, 2174 nt
Organism: Brienomyrus brachyistius
Lineage: Eukaryota; Metazoa; Chordata; Actinopteri; Osteoglossiformes; Mormyridae
Exons: 4
Source: RefSeq, a predicted model, not a curated record